This 443-nucleotide ribosomal RNA is filed under the name uncultured bacterium. RNAcentral describes it as "partial 16S ribosomal RNA". It matches the Rfam family "Bacterial small subunit ribosomal RNA", at positions 338 to 795 of the family's 1533-position model. The record is from RNAcentral.
CCUACGGGAGGCAGCAGUGGGGAAUAUUGGGCAAUGGGCGCAAGCCUGACCCAGCAACGCCGCGUGAAGGAAGAAGGCUUUCGGGUUGUAAACUUCUUUUCUCAGGGACGAAGCAAGUGACGGUACCUGAGGAAUAAGCCACGGCUACCUACGUGCCAGCAGCCGCGUUAAUACGUAGGUGGCAAGCGUUAUCAGGAUUUACUGGGUGUAAUGGUCGUGUAGGCGGGACGGUAAGUCAGAUGUGAAAACCCCGGGCUCAACCUGUGGACUGCAUUUGAAACUGUAGUGCUUGAGUACGGGAGAGGCAGGUGGAAUUCCAAGUGUAGCGGUGAAAUGCGUAGAUAUGAGGAGGAACACCAGUGGCGAAGGCGGUCUGCUGGACAGCAACUGACGCUGAGGCGCGAAAGCGUGGGGAGCAAACAGGAUUAGAUACCCUGGUAGUC